AUGUCGUCUGGCGACGAUGACCGCAUCACCGUCUCCAAGCACCACCACCGGGACAAGGACAAGGACCGCGACCACUCCUCCUCUCGCCGCCACCGCGACAAGGACCGCCCCUCCUCUCGCCACCACCGCGACGACAGGGACGGUGAGCGGGAGCGGGACCGAGAUCGCGACCGCCACCACAGAGACAAGGAGCGGGAUCGAGAGGAGCGGAAGGCGCGGGAGCGGGCGGAGAAGGAGCGCGAGAAGGAGGAGAAGAGGGAGAGGGAGAGGGAGGAGAGGGAGAUGGAGAAGGAGAGAGAGCGGGCGCGUCGUCGCGAGGAGCGGGAUAGGGAAAAGGAGAAGUCGAGGAGGCGGGAGGCGGUCGAUGAGGAGGAGAACGAAGAUCGUGACCGCGACCGCAAGCGCCGCCGUCGGUCCUUGCAUCGGCACCACCACCGUGAUGUGGAGCCAGAGGAGACACCGCUGACAAGGGAGGAGGAGGAGGAUGCGGAGGAGGUGGAGAGACGGCGGCAGAAGGAGGAAGACAUGGAGGCUGAACAGCAGCGGCUUGAUGACGAGAUGGAGCGGCGCCGCCGCCGUGUUAAGGAGUGGCAGGAGAAGAAGCGCCGUGAGCAGCAGCAGGAGGAUGGUACCAGUGGUGGUGCAGCUGCCAUUGAGGCUGAUGGUGGAGGCAAGUCUGGGAAGAAGUGGACCUUGGAUGGUGAGGAGUCGGAUGAGGAGGAUGUGAAGAAGUUGGAGGAGAAUGCUGGCACUGGUGCCAUGGAUGUUGACCUACCGAACAUGGAUAAUGGCAGUAACGGCGGGGCUGGUUUGGAAGAGGAUGAGAUUGAUCCCCUCGACGCGUUUAUGGACUCCAUGGUGUUGCCAGUGGUUGCAAAGCUCGAGAGUGCCGCAACAGCGAUGGAGAGCGUGCUUGCUGACAAUGCAGGUUGUUUGAAUGACAAGAGUGUGAAGGAUGCCACAAGUAAUGAGGAUAAGAAAAGACAGAUGAUGGCAAUUGGGAGAAUUAUGCAAGGGGAUGACUCUGACUCAGAUUAUGAUGAUGCUAAUAAUGGCGAGGCUGGAUCAGAUGAUGAGGAUGAUGCAGAGUUCAUAAAACGUGUCAAGAAGACGAAGGCAGAGAAGUUGGUUAUUGUUGACCAUUCCAAGAUUGAUUACCAACCAUUCCGGAAGAAUUUCUAUAUUGAGGUGAAAGACAUAAAAAAUAUGCCAGCCGAGGAAGCGGCGGCCUACCGGAAGCUGUUGGAGCUCAAGGUGCACGGGAAAGACGUUCCGAAGCCAAUAAAGACAUGGAUCCAGAGUGGUCUGACAAGUAAGCUACUUGACACUAUCAAGAAGCUUGGUUUUGAGAAACCGAUGCCUAUACAAGCACAAGCGUUGCCAGUCAUAAUGAGUGGACGUGAUUGUAUAGGGGUUGCAAAGACUGGAUCUGGUAAGACUCUAGCAUUUGUCUUGCCCAUGCUGAGGCAUGUCAAAGAUCAGCCGCCUGUUGUGCCUGGGGAUGGCCCUAUUGGGCUUAUUAUGGCUCCUACGAGAGAGCUUGUGGUGCAAAUAUAUUCAGACAUAAAAAAGUUCUCCAAGGUGCUCGGCAUCAACUGUGUUCCUAUAUACGGAGGUUCUGGGGUUGCCCAGCAGAUCAGUGAACUGAAGAGGGGUGCUGAAAUUGUUGUUUGUACACCAGGCAGGAUGAUUGAUAUCCUUUGCACUAGCAGUGGCAAGAUUACUAACCUUCGAAGAGUGACUUUCUUGGUGCUAGAUGAAGCUGAUAGGAUGUUUGAUAUGGGUUUUGAGCCUCAGAUUACUCGAAUCGUUCAGAACACCCGUCCGGAUAGGCAGACUGUCCUUUUCUCUGCCACUUUUCCACGGCAGGUGGAGAUACUGGCACGUAAAGUGCUGACAAAGCCUGUUGAGAUUCAGAUGGGUGGGAGGAGUGUCGUGAACAAAGAUAUCACACAACUGGUGGAAGUGCGACCAGAAAGUGAGAGGUUCUUUAGGCUGUUGGAAUUGCUUGGGGAGUGGUUUGCAAACGGAAAAAUUCUUGUUUUUGUACAGUCGCAAGAUAAGUGUGAUUCUCUACUGAAAGAGCUGUUCCAGCACGGAUACCCAUGUUUGUCUCUACAUGGUGGAAAGGAUCAAAAUGACCGUGAAUCAACUCUUGCUGAUUUCAAGAGUAAUGUAUGCAGCUUACUGAUUGCUACCAGUGUUGCUGCAAGGGGUUUAGAUGUGAAAGAUCUUGAGCUUGUUGUCAAUUAUGAUGUAACUAAUCAUUAUGAGGACUAUGUUCAUCGGGUCGGGCGAACGGGUCGUGCUGGUAGGAAGGGCUGUGCUGUAACUUUUAUUUCUGAGGAAGAGGAACGCUAUGCACCAGACCUUGUUAAGGCUUUGGAGCUAUCUGAACAGGCCGUUCCAGAGGACCUGAAAGCCUUAGCGGAUCGAUUUAUGUCAAAGGUCAAACAGGGGACAGAGCAGGCCCAUGGAACAGGCUAUGGUGGAAGUGGUUUCAAGUUCAAUGAAGAAGAGGAGGAAGCACGGAAAUCUGCAAAAAGGGCUCAGGCAAGGGAAUAUGGAUAUGAGGAGGACAAGUCAGAUUCAGAUUCUGACGAUGAAGGAGGUGUGCGUAAACAGGGAGGUGAUGUUGCAGCACAAGCUAUUGCUGCUGCUCAAGCUGCCGCUGCUUUGGCUGCUGCCAGGGCUACUAGUAAUGCCCAGCAGCAAGUACCAGCCACAACGGCUGGCUCCUUGCUUCCUCUGCCGGUCGCACCUAACCAACAAAACAAUGAAGCCACACAACGAGCACUUGAUGCUGCAUACAACUUACAGAAAAAUUUGGCAAGGAUACAGGCCCAUGCAGUUCCAGAACACUAUGAAGCGGAGCUUGAGAUUAAUGAUUUCCCACAAAAUGCUCGCUGGAAGAUCACUCACAAAGAGACAUUGGUUCCCAUUCAGGAAUGGACUGGAGCGGCAAUUACUACAAGGGGAACCUUUAUUCCUCAAGGCAAAAUUGUUGGUGCUAACGAGCGCAAGCUGUACCUGUUCAUUGAGGGCCCCAAUGAGUCUUCCGUCAAGAAGGCGAAAGCAGAAUUGAAGCGUGUCCUUGAGGAUUGUGCCAACCAGGCACUGAAUCUUCCAGCUUACCGUGGUUUGCAGAUCACAAUCCAAUUGUUGGACUUCAGAUAUGCAACUAUUUUUUAA
Molecule: ribosomal RNA, 3192 nt
Filed under: Triticum aestivum (bread wheat)
Lineage: Eukaryota; Viridiplantae; Streptophyta; Magnoliopsida; Poales; Poaceae
Description: partial small subunit ribosomal RNA
Source: RNAcentral